This 520-nucleotide ribosomal RNA is filed under the name uncultured Diversispora. Its description in RNAcentral is "SSU rRNA". It matches the Rfam family "Eukaryotic small subunit ribosomal RNA", at positions 569 to 1085 of the family's 1831-position model. The record is from RNAcentral. Lineage: Eukaryota; Fungi; Glomeromycota; Glomeromycetes; Diversisporales; Diversisporaceae.
AGCAGCCGCGGUAAUUCCAGCUCCAAUAGCGUAUAUUAAAAGUUGUUGCAGUUAAAAAGCUCGUAGUUGAACUUCGGGGUUUACCCAUUGGUCAGGCUUAAUUGUCUGUACUGGUGAGAUGAAUCUCUACCUUCUGAGGAACUUUCAUGCCAUUUAUUUGGUGUGAUGGGAAAUCAGGACUGUUACUUUGAAAAAAAUUAGAGUGUUUAAAGCAGGCUAACGUCUGAAUACAUUAGCAUGGAAUAAUGAAAUAGGACGGACUGAUUCUAUUUCGUUGGUUUCUAGGAUCACCGUAAUGAUUAAUAGGGAUAGUUGGGGGCAUUAGUAUUCAAUUGUCAGAGGUGAAAUUCUUGGAUUUAUUGAAGACUAACUACUGCGAAAAGCAUUUGCCAAGGAUGUUUUCAUUAAUCAAGAACGAAANUUAGGGGAUCGAAGACGAUCAGAUACCGUCGUAGUCUUAACCAUAAACUAUGCCGACUAGGGAUCGGACGAAGUUAAUUUUAUAAUGACGCGUUCGGCA